UACGUAGGGUCCAAGCGUUAUCCGGAAUUACUGGGCGUAAAGCGUGCGUAGGCGGUUUGUUAAGUCCGUUGUGAAAGCCCUGGGCUCAACCUGGGAAUUGCAGUGGAUACUGGCGAGCUAGAGUGCGGUAGAGGAUGGUGGAAUUCCCGGUGUAGCGGUGAAAUGCGUAGAGAUCGGGAGGAACACCCGUGGCGAAGGCGGCCAUCUGGACCAGCACUGACGCUGAGGCACGAAAGCGUGGGGAGCAAACAGG
This 253-nucleotide ribosomal RNA is filed under the name uncultured bacterium. Its description in RNAcentral is "partial 16S ribosomal RNA". It matches the Rfam family "Bacterial small subunit ribosomal RNA", at positions 524 to 776 of the family's 1533-position model. The record is from RNAcentral.